This 24-nucleotide non-coding RNA is filed under the name Arabidopsis thaliana (thale cress). The record is from RNAcentral. Lineage: Eukaryota; Viridiplantae; Streptophyta; Magnoliopsida; Brassicales; Brassicaceae.
UCCCAUCACAGCGACCAUCUCCUC